Molecule: non-coding RNA, 374 nt
Filed under: Canis lupus familiaris (dog)
Lineage: Eukaryota; Metazoa; Chordata; Mammalia; Carnivora; Canidae
Description: Eukaryotic large subunit ribosomal RNA
Rfam family: Eukaryotic large subunit ribosomal RNA
Source: Rfam by way of RNAcentral
AAGGGUUCCAUGUGAACAGCAUUUGAACAUGGGUCAGUCAGUCCUGAGAGAUGGGCGAGCGCCAUUUGAAGGGACGGGCGAUGGCCUCCAUUGCCCUCAGUGGAUCGAAAGGAAGUGGGGCUCAGAUCCCCGAAUCCGGAGUGGCGGAGAUGGGCACCACAAGGCGUCCAGUGCAGUAACGCAACCAAUCCCAGAGAAGCUGGCGGGAGCCCCGGGGAGAAGGGCAGGGCGCCCUGGCUCACUCGGAGAGAGGGCCCGGACCUUGGAAGUGUCGCGGUUCCGGCGGCAUCCGGGGAGCUCUCGCUGGCCCUUGAGAAUCCCGGGGAGAGGGUGUAAAUCUUGCCCCCCGCCAUACCCAUAUCCAAACCUGAGGU